AGCGAACGCUGGCGGCAGGCUUAACACAUGCAAGUCGAGCGGGCGUAGCAAUACGUCAGCGGCAGACGGGUGAGUAACGCGUGGGAACGUACCUUUUGGUUCGGAACAACACAGGGAAACUUGUGCUAAUACCGGAUAAGCCCUUACGGGGAAAGAUUUAUCGCCGAAAGAUCGGCCCGCGUCUGAUUAGCUAGUUGGUAGGGUAAUGGCCUACCAAGGCGACGAUCAGUAGCUGGUCUGAGAGGAUGAUCAGCCACAUUGGGACUGAGACACGGCCCAAACUCCUACGGGAGGCAGCAGUGGGGAAUAUUGGACAAUGGGGGCAACCCUGAUCCAGCCAUGCCGCGUGAGUGAUGAAGGCCCUAGGGUUGUAAAGCUCUUUUGUGCGGGAAGAU
This 395-nucleotide ribosomal RNA is filed under the name uncultured bacterium. RNAcentral describes it as "bacterial SSU rRNA". It matches the Rfam family "Bacterial small subunit ribosomal RNA", at positions 29 to 449 of the family's 1533-position model. The record is from RNAcentral.